GAUCAUGGCUCAGGAUGAACGCUAGCUACAGGCUUAACACAUGCAAGUCGAGGGGAAACGACAUUGGAAGCUUGCUUCCUUUGGGCGUCGACCGGCGCACGGGUGAGUAACGCGUAUCCAACCUUCCCGCAAGUAAGGGAUAACCCGUAGAAAUGCGGCCUAAUACCUUAUGUUUUCCUUAGAGGGCAUCUGAUGAGGAACAAAGAUCCGUCGCUUGCGGAUGGGGAUGGGUCUGAUUAGUUAGUCGGCGGGG
Molecule: ribosomal RNA, 253 nt
Filed under: uncultured bacterium
Lineage: Bacteria
Description: partial 16S ribosomal RNA
Rfam family: Bacterial small subunit ribosomal RNA
Source: RNAcentral